This 405-nucleotide ribosomal RNA is filed under the name uncultured bacterium. RNAcentral's name for it is "bacterial SSU rRNA". It matches the Rfam family "Bacterial small subunit ribosomal RNA", at positions 40 to 491 of the family's 1533-position model. The record is from RNAcentral.
CGGUGUGUCUAAUACAUGCAAGUCGAACGAACCUUUAUGGUUAGUGGCGGACGAGUGAGUAACGCGUUGGAACCUGCCCCAUACUCGGGGAUAAGCACUGGAAACGGUGUCUAAUACCGGAUAGUCCCGCAAGGGUAAAGAUUUAUCGGUAUGGGAGGGGCCUGCGUAUCAUCAGCUUGUUGGUAAGGUAACGGCUUACCAAGGCUACGACGAUUAGCUGGUCUGAGAGGAUGAUCAGCCACGAUGGAACUGAGACACGGUCCAUACUCCUACGGGAGGCAGCAGUAAGGAAUCUUCCACAAUGGGCGAAAGCCUGAUGGAGCAACACCGCGUGAUUGAUGAAGCCCUUCGGGGUGUAAAGAUCUUUUCUGAGGGAAGAAUUAUGACGGUACCUUAGGAAUAAGC